UUCUCAACAUACAUAUAUACUGCUAAAUAUAUAUAUAGAGAUUAAGCUGUAGACAAGCACAAUGAAUGUUGGAUUAAUCAGAGAACAGAACUACAACAUUUAAAUCACUAGACAACACAAGAAAGGAUGUGCCUACAUGAGUA
Long non-coding RNA from Ipomoea nil (Japanese morning glory), 143 nucleotides. RefSeq lists it as uncharacterized. The transcript is spliced from 3 exons. The record is from RefSeq and is a predicted model, not a curated record. Lineage: Eukaryota; Viridiplantae; Streptophyta; Magnoliopsida; Solanales; Convolvulaceae.